This 336-nucleotide unclassified non-coding RNA is filed under the name soil metagenome. RNAcentral's name for it is "partial contains 5.8S ribosomal RNA, internal transcribed spacer 2, and large subunit ribosomal RNA". The stretch from base 1 to 120 matches the Rfam family "5.8S ribosomal RNA", at positions 35 to 154 of the family's 154-position model. The record is from RNAcentral.
GAUGAAGAACGUAGCGAAAUGCGAUAAGUAGUGUGAAUUGCAGAAUUCAGUGAAUCAUCGAAUCUUUGAACGCACAUUGCGCCCCUUGGUAUUCCAUGGGGCAUGCCUGUUCGAGCGUCAUUUGUACCUUCAAGCUUUGCUUGGUGUUGGGUGUUUGUCUCGCCUUCGCGUGUAGACUCGCCUUAAAAUAAUUGGCAGCCGGCGUAUUGAUUUCGGAGCGCAGUACAUCUCGCGCUUUGCACUCAUAACGACAGCGUCCAAAAGUACAUUUUACACUCUUGACCUCGGAUCAGGUAGGGAUACCCGCUGAACUUAAGCAUAUCAAUAAGCGGAGGA